AGACCGUAUAGCGUACGCUUUAUCUGUGACGUAUGUAACACGGUCCACUAACCCUCAGUAUCAAAUCCGUCCUCGAGGC
This 79-nucleotide microRNA precursor is filed under the name Capra hircus (goat). The record is from RNAcentral. Lineage: Eukaryota; Metazoa; Chordata; Mammalia; Artiodactyla; Bovidae.